RNAcentral lists this transfer RNA (75 nucleotides) under Candidatus Woesearchaeota archaeon. RNAcentral's name for it is "tRNA-Arg". It matches the Rfam family "tRNA". Rfam says of the family: Transfer RNA (tRNA) molecules are approximately 80 nucleotides in length. Their secondary structure includes four short double-helical elements and three loops (D, anti-codon, and T loops). Lineage: Archaea; Nanobdellati; Candidatus Woesearchaeota. The record is from RNAcentral.
GGACCUGUAGCUCAGGCUGGAUAGAGCGACGGCCUUCUAAGCCGUAGGUCGGGGGUUCGAAUCCCUCCAGGUCCG